Molecule: ribosomal RNA, 406 nt
Filed under: uncultured bacterium
Lineage: Bacteria
Description: partial 16S ribosomal RNA
Rfam family: Bacterial small subunit ribosomal RNA
Source: RNAcentral
AUUGAACGCUGGCGGCAGGCCUAACACAUGCAAGUCGAAGGAGUGGCGGACGGGUGAGUAAUGUCUGGGAAACUGCCUGAUGGAGGGGGAUAACUACUGGGAGCGGUAGCUACUACCGCAUACCAUCAGAUGUGCCCAUAUGGGAUGAGCUUGUUGGUGGGGUAACGGCUCACAAAGGAGACGAUCCCUAGCUGGUCUGUGAGGAGGACCAGCUACACUGGAACGUGAACAAGGGCCAGACUCCGACGGGAGGCAGCAGGGGGGAAUAAUGCACAAUGGGCGCAGGCCGGAUGACGCCAUGGCGGGUGUAUGAAGAAGGCGUUCGGGUUGUAAAGUACUUUCAGCGGGGAGGCUUUACCCGCAGAAGAAGCACCGGCUAACUCCGUGCCAGCAGCCGCGGUAAUUC